Homo sapiens (human) is the source of this 3013-nucleotide long non-coding RNA. The record is from Ensembl. Lineage: Eukaryota; Metazoa; Chordata; Mammalia; Primates; Hominidae.
ACACUUGAGAAACCACAUUCAUACUUGGACCUGAUUUAGAUGACGAGAUUAUGGACUUGAAGCUGAUAUUGCAAUGGAAUGAGAAUUUUGAAGUCUUUGGGGGCAGGCCACUGUCAUAAGGACGCCUGGAAGAGUGAAGAAAGGCCUGAUUGAUCACAAGGUCCUAUCAAAUGUCAAAGCUGGCCCUGGCUGACCUCCCAUCUAUUCAGAGCUGCUUUGAUUUAAUCUCCAAACUGGCUGCUUCUCCAGGCUAGAAGAGAAUUGAAAAUUUCAAGAAGGCAAAGGUGAUGGAAGUGUCUUCAUGAGACCCUUGGGUAACAUAAAUUGGCAAAGAAUUGGAUGAUCUGGGUUCUAAGAUCUGGCCUUAAAACUAGCCAUCUAUUGACUGAGUAAGUUACUUCACUUUUUGGUGGUCUUAGUCUCUUGAUAUUCACCACACAGGGUUUGGAAAAAAUGUAUUUCUUUGUUCCUACUAUGGCUAAAUUAUAUGGAUUUUUUCUGUCCUGUAUUCAGAAUCAAAUACUAGUUUUUCCUUCAUACCUCAAUAAUGUGUAUAAGCACCUAGGGCCAGAUACAUUCUAAGUGUUCAAUAAGUAUUUGUUGAGUGAAUGGAUGUACUUAGUUGUCUGCCUGGAUCAAUAGCUCCUUUAACACUCCAUUAUUAAAGCUUGAUAUUUUCCACACCUAGACUUAAGCAAAGUAUUAAAACAUGGAUGUUUUUGAUGCAGGUGAAAUAUUUUGCUACAGAGUGGUAGAGGAUCACUAGGCACAACCCUCUGCUCUUGAGUUGCUAAAAGGGCCUACUUCCAGAGAUGGCCAAGAAAGUUUGGGACUCUAGCACUCAGCUGAUUUUCCUAAAGAAAAGCCCUCAGGAUGUGCUCAAAGACCUGGAUCAGGCACACUGAGGUGAUGAUGGGAGGUCAGGAAAAUGGCCAGAAUGGAACUAAGAUUUAACUUCCCAGAACACUCAUAUAUGAUUUUUCUGAAAAGUUUUUUCCGCACCUUAGCAAUAUUAACUACUUUGAAUACUCAAGUCCAGAAUAAUUACAUUUUCCUUCUUUCACAUUCUGACACUUAUAUAUAUAUCACUUAUGAGAUAUUUAAUACUACUCUUUUGAGAAUAAAUAGUUUAUUUUUAGUGUGAUGAUGUCUUUUUAAUCCAAUGAAACUGUUAGCAUCAAUAAGGACAGAGAUACUACCUUUAUUUCUGGCACACAGUUCUCUGUAUCUCGCAAACUCCAGCACAGUAUAAUCUACUCAGCAUCAGACACAUGGGAAAACACUAUCUAAACAGGAAAGCAUUGUACAAACAUUAGUAGUUGUUAUUAUGAUUAGAAUUGAUGUUUCAGGUAAUUUAAUAAUUACUCUUACUUCUGGUACAUACCCUCCUCCAGGAAUGUAAAAGCUCGUCAGUGUUUACUGGGCUUAGCAUAGAUGUCCUGAGAUCUUAGCAUUUCUAAGAUUUCAAACUGUACAAGAAUAUACAAAAGAACAUUUAUCAUGCUCUCCAUUCAGAAGGAUAAUAUUAAAAAUUAAUAAGCAUUUUAGUCUGCUGGGAUGCAACAUAAUUCAGGGGAGGGGAGGAGGUCCGUCGCUAUCUUUUUCAAGGGCAAUUCACAACAACACUUUGCAUGAUAAAUUCCUGAAGCUUGAUGUUCUCCUCACCAUUAUACAAUGUGAGUGCUGACAAGGUCUUUUAAAAAUAACAAUACUUUAUUUUAAAUUAGUUCAUCUGUUUGGGGAAAAAGGCAGCAGUGUGCACCUAUAUAGGUGUCAUAUCCUUUAGUCCCAUAAAUUUCACAACUAAAACUAUAUCUUCUUUUUUUGUUUGUUUGAAAUGGAGUCUCACUCUGUUACCCAGGCUGAAAUGCAGUGGCACAAUUUCGGCUCACUGCAGCCUCCACCUCCUGGGCUCAAGUGAUUCCCCUGCCUCAGUCUCCUGAGUAGCUGGGAUUACAGGUGGCCACCACCGCACCCAGCUAAUGUUUGUAUUUUUAGUAAAGAUGGGGUUUUACCAUGUUGGCCAAGCUGGUCUUGAACUCCUGACCUCAGGUGAACCACCUGCCUUGGCCUCCCAAAGUGCUGGGAUUACAGAAAUGAGCCACCACGCCUGGCCUAAAACUAUAUCUUAAAAAAAAUAGUUCACGUAAGAAACAAAAAUCUUAAGGAAGGAAUGACUUUACUUGUGACUUAUUGAUGAUAAAAGGAACUUGGAAACAAUUUGGAUGCCCAAUAUUAGAAAUGCUUAAAUAAAUUAUACUAGCAAGAAAACACAUUAGAAAGAUGUUAACAUUUAGCACUUUAGAGCUUAGACAAAUAUAUAGAAAAAUUUUUUUUGGAAAAGCUUAAUGCGAUAUUUGUACACAAGUAUGUGAAAUGCUAUAUAUGAAUGCUAACAUUCCCCAAAAGCAAAGACUUAUUUUACUGGGUAGGCUGUUUGCAUUGUAUAAAAAACAUGAGUUUAGAAUUAGAGCUAGAUUUAAAUUCCAGUUCUUCCAUAAGCUGUGUGACACUUGCAAAUUAUUAAUCCUCUCUGGAUAUCUAUUUCCUUAUUAGCAAGUGUGUGUGUGUGUGUGUGUGUGUGUGUGUGUGUGUGUGUGUGUGUGUUAAGCAAAGCCACUUUAAGAGUCUAGGACAUAGUAGGAGCUCAAUGCUAUUAUUUCCCUUUCCCUUUACUAAAUACCUGAGACUCCCUUGGUUUAAAAAGUUUUGUUCAAAUUGACUGACUUUUAUAGAAAUUUCAAUGUCGUUGUUUUUGACCCAUGCAAGAAUUUCUAACAGAUGAGACUCUAUUAAUUAAUGUGAUGAUUCUCCUGUAAUUGGUCAAUAAUCUUUACAUUUGAAUAGAUUUCAGAACAGUAUUAAAUAUCUUGGGUUGGAGGUUAAUUUCUAUAAACAGAAAUGUAUAUCCAACAGUGUUGCAUUUUAGCUGAUCUUGACUAUAAACGAGUGCAAUUUGUGUUCAUUUCCCAUAUAUCAUUGACACUAAAUUUUGGAACACUUACAUCUGGGU